Molecule: ribosomal RNA, 3033 nt
Filed under: Salmonella enterica subsp. enterica serovar Inverness str. ATCC 10720
Lineage: Bacteria; Pseudomonadati; Pseudomonadota; Gammaproteobacteria; Enterobacterales; Enterobacteriaceae
Description: bacterial LSU rRNA
Rfam family: Bacterial large subunit ribosomal RNA
Source: RNAcentral
GGGUUGUGAGGUUAAGCGACUAAGCGUACACGGUGGAUGCCCUGGCAGUCAGAGGCGAUGAAGGGCGUGCUAAUCUGCGAUAAGCGCCGGUAAGGUGAUAUGAACCGUUAUAACCGGCGAUACCCGAAUGGGGAAACCCAGUGUGAUUCGUCACACUAUCAUUACGUGAAUACAUAGCGUAAUGAAGCGAACCGGGGGAACUGAAACAUCUAAGUACCCCGAGGAAAAGAAAUCAACCGAGAUUCCCCCAGUAGCGGCGAGCGAACGGGGAGGAGCCCAGAGCCUGAAUCAGCAUGUGUGUUAGUGGAAGCGUCUGGAAAGGCGCGCGAUACAGGGUGACAGCCCCGUACACAAAAGCGCAUGUGCUGUGAGCUCGAUGAGUAGGGCGGGACACGUGGUAUCCUGUCUGAAUAUGGGGGGACCAUCCUCCAAGGCUAAAUACUCCUGACUGACCGAUAGUGAACCAGUACCGUGAGGGAAAGGCGAAAAGAACCCCGGCGAGGGGAGUGAAAAAGAACCUGAAACCGUGUACGUACAAGCAGUGGGAGCCCCACCACUAAGCCAGUGGUGAACUCCACAUACGCAUCCUUUGCUGAGGAUACGGUUAACGGAGCGAAAGCGACGUUCAACCGCAAAAGAAGCAGAGGGGGCUUAGUGGUGGGGUGACUGCGUACCUUUUGUAUAAUGGGUCAGCGACUUAUAUUCUGUAGCAAGGUUAACCGAAUAGGGGAGCCGCAGGGAAACCGAGUCUUAAUUGGGCGUUAAGUUGCAGGGUAUAGACCCGAAACCCGGUGAUCUAGCCAUGGGCAGGUUGAAGGUUGGGUAACACUAACUGGAGGACCGAACCGACUAAUGUUGAAAAAUUAGCGGAUGACCUGUGGCUGGGGGUGAAAGGCCAAUCAAACCGGGAGAUAGCUGGUUCUCCCCGAAAGCUAUUUAGGUAGCGCCUCGUGAAUUCAUCUCCGGGGGUAGAGCACUGUUUCGGCUAGGGGGCCAUCCCGGCUUACCAACCCGAUGCAAACUGCGAAUACCGGAGAAUGUUAUCACGGGAGACACACGGCGGGUGCUAACGUCCGUCGUGAAGAGGGAAACAACCCAGACCGCCAGCUAAGGUCCCAAAGUCAUGGUUAAGUGGGAAACGAUGUGGGAAGGCCCAGACAGCCAGGAUGUUGGCUUAGAAGCAGCCAUCAUUUAAAGAAAGCGUAAUAGCUCACUGGUCGAGUCGGCCUGCGCGGAAGAUGUAACGGGGCUAAACCAUGCACCGAAGCUGCGGCAGCGACGCUGAUGCGUUGUUGGGUAGGGGAGCGUUCUGUAAGCCUGUGAAGGUGUGUCGUGAGGCAUGCUGGAGGUAUCAGAAGUGCGAAUGCUGACAUAAGUAACGAUAAAGCGGGUGAAAAGCCCGCUCGCCGGAAGACCAAGGGUUCCUGUCCAACGUUAAUCGGGGCAGGGUGAGUCGACCCCUAAGGCGAGGCCGAAAGGCGUAGUCGAUGGGAAACGGGUUAAUAUUCCCGUACUUGGUGUUACUGCGAAGGGGGGACGGAGAAGGCUAUGUUGGCCGGGCGACGGUUGUCCCGGUUUAAGCGUGUAGGUGUGUGUUCCAGGUAAAUCCGGUUCACUUUAACACUGAGGCGUGAUGACGAGGCACUACGGUGCUGAAGCAACAAAUGCCCUGCUUCCAGGAAAAGCCUCUAAGCAUCAGGUAACAUCAAAUCGUACCCCAAACCGACACAGGUGGUCAGGUAGAGAAUACCAAGGCGCUUGAGAGAACUCGGGUGAAGGAACUAGGCAAAAUGGUGCCGUAACUUCGGGAGAAGGCACGCUGACACGUAGGUGAAGUGAUUUACUCACGGAGCUGAAGUCAGUCGAAGAUACCAGCUGGCUGCAACUGUUUAUUAAAAACACAGCACUGUGCAAACACGAAAGUGGACGUAUACGGUGUGACGCCUGCCCGGUGCCGGAAGGUUAAUUGAUGGGGUCAGCGCAAGCGAAGCUCCUGAUCGAAGCCCCGGUAAACGGCGGCCGUAACUAUAACGGUCCUAAGGUAGCGAAAUUCCUUGUCGGGUAAGUUCCGACCUGCACGAAUGGCGUAAUGAUGGCCAGGCUGUCUCCACCCGAGACUCAGUGAAAUUGAACUCGCUGUGAAGAUGCAGUGUACCCGCGGCAAGACGGAAAGACCCCGUGAACCUUUACUAUAGCUUGACACUGAACAUUGAGCCUUGAUGUGUAGGAUAGGUGGGAGGCUUUGAAGUGUGGACGCCAGUCUGCAUGGAGCCGACCUUGAAAUACCACCCUUUAAUGUUUGAUGUUCUAACGUGGACCCGUAAUCCGGGUUGCGGACAGUGUCUGGUGGGUAGUUUGACUGGGGCGGUCUCCUCCUAAAGAGUAACGGAGGAGCACGAAGGUUGGCUAAUCCUGGUCGGACAUCAGGAGGUUAGUGCAAUGGCAUAAGCCAGCUUGACUGCGAGCGUGACGGCGCGAGCAGGUGCGAAAGCAGGUCAUAGUGAUCCGGUGGUUCUGAAUGGAAGGGCCAUCGCUCAACGGAUAAAAGGUACUCCGGGGAUAACAGGCUGAUACCGCCCAAGAGUUCAUAUCGACGGCGGUGUUUGGCACCUCGAUGUCGGCUCAUCACAUCCUGGGGCUGAAGUAGGUCCCAAGGGUAUGGCUGUUCGCCAUUUAAAGUGGUACGCGAGCUGGGUUUAGAACGUCGUGAGACAGUUCGGUCCCUAUCUGCCGUGGGCGCUGGAGAACUGAGGGGGGCUGCUCCUAGUACGAGAGGACCGGAGUGGACGCAUCACUGGUGUUCGGGUUGUCAUGCCAAUGGCACUGCCCGGUAGCUAAAUGCGGAAGAGAUAAGUGCUGAAAGCAUCUAAGCACGAAACUUGCCCCGAGAUGAGUUCUCCCUGAGACUUAGAGUCUCCUGAAGGAACGUUGAAGACGACGACGUUGAUAGGCCGGGUGUGUAAGCGCAGCGAUGCGUUGAGCUAACCGGUACUAAUGAACCGUGAGGCUUAACCUUACAACGCCGAAGCUGUU